This 585-nucleotide ribosomal RNA is filed under the name uncultured bacterium. RNAcentral describes it as "bacterial SSU rRNA". It matches the Rfam family "Bacterial small subunit ribosomal RNA", at positions 920 to 1504 of the family's 1533-position model. The record is from RNAcentral.
CCCGCACAAGCGGUGGAGCAUGUGGUUUAAUUCGAUGCAACGCGAAGAACCUUACCUGGUCUUGACAUAUCUAGAAUCCUGCAGAGAUGCGGGAGUGCCUUCGGGAAUUAGAAUACAGGUGCUGCAUGGCUGUCGUCAGCUCGUGUCGUGAGAUGUUGGGUUAAGUCCCGCAACGAGCGCAACCCUUGUCCUUAGUUACCAGCGGUUUGGCCGGGAACUCUAAGAAUACUGCCAGUGACAAACUGGAGGAAGGCGGGGACGACGUCAAGUCAUCAUGGCCCUUACGACCAGGGCUACACACGUGCUACAAUGGUAGGUACAGAGGGCAGCUACACAGCGAUGUGAUGCGAAUCUCAAAAAGCCUAUCGUAGUCCAGAUUGGAGUCUGCAACUCGACUCCAUGAAGUAGGAAUCGCUAGUAAUCGCGGAUCAGAAUGCCGCGGUGAAUACGUUCCCGGGCCUUGUACACACCGCCCGUCACACCAUGGGAGUUGAUUGCACCAGAAGUGGGUAGCCUAACCUUUUAGGAUGGCGCUCACCACGGUGUGGUUGAUGACUGGGGUGAAGUCGUAACAAGGUAACCGUA